This 486-nucleotide ribosomal RNA is filed under the name uncultured bacterium. RNAcentral's name for it is "partial 16S ribosomal RNA". It matches the Rfam family "Bacterial small subunit ribosomal RNA", at positions 30 to 507 of the family's 1533-position model. The record is from RNAcentral.
AUUGAACGCUGGCGACAUGCCUUACACAUGCAAGUCGAGCGGCAGCACGGGUGCUUGCACCUGGUGGCGAGUGGCGAACGGGUGAGUAAUACAUCGGAACAUGUCCUGUAGUGGGGGAUAGCCCGGCGAAAGCCGGAUUAAUACCGCAUACGAUCUACGUAUGAAAGCGGGGGCCCUUCGGGCCUCGCGCUAUAGGGUUGGCCGAUGGCUGAUUAGCUAGUUGGUGGGGUAAAGGCCUACCAAGGCGACGAUCAGUAGCUGGUCUGAGAGGACGACCAGCCACACUGGGACUGAGACACGGCCCAGACUCCUACGGGAGGCAGCAGUGGGGAAUUUUGGACAAUGGGCGAAAGCCUGAUCCAGCAAUGCCGCGUGUGUGAAGAAGGCCUUCGGGUUGUAAAGCACUUUUGCCCGGAAAGAAAUCCUUGGCCCUAAUACGGUCGGGGGAUGACGGUACCGGAAGAAUAAGCACCGGCUAACUACGUG